CAAAAUCCAUCCCCUUUCAAUUAAAACCUAGACUUAAACCUAUAUAGAGAUUGUGAAAAUAUUCUUCUUCAAGAAUUCCACCACACUACUCACCUCAUUGUUGGGUAGAGAAACGGCCUCAACCAAUUUGAACACAUAAUCAACCGCGACCAAAAUGUAGGUGUUUCUGUUUCCACGAAGUCAAUACCCCCACACAUGGAUUUUAGGCUACAUUUGGAGAUAAGAUUCCUACCCAACACAGCGUCGUUUCCCCAUUGUUUUUUUGGUUCUCCUUCCUUACCUCUCAUCUUCAACAGAGGAUCAGAACACACACCCAAAAAUGAAAACCUUCCCUCUUAGAGACCCUAGCGGCGCACCUCUCUAUUCUUGAACAAAAAAAGGACGAACACCACCUUCUCCUCUUCCCGAUUCCCUCCUCUUCUCACACUCACCCUUUCGUCUGCACCUCACAUAUACACUCCUCCCUCACACACGCAAAGGCCAUAUAGGGGCAGCUGCAAAAAUACGAAGAAAAAAAAAAGAUCCAAAAAAUCAAAAGCUAAAAAAUGGGAAGAAAAACAUGAAUUUUCAAUAGAGAAUUGAAGAAGAACUGAUUUCAAAGCUUGAUUUUCUUUAUUUCUGAGUCUCUGGAAGCUAUUAAAGAGCCGUGGAUUUGCCGCUCGAUUAUCGCUGAUUUUGCUUCUUUUUUUUUUGUUCUGAAAUUGCUGAGCUCUACUGCUUGUUUGUUUAAGAGGUAAACUCAAAAGCACCCCUUUUGUAUUUUGUUAUAUUUAGUGAUGAAUGUUUGAACAGUGAAGUGAUGUCCAAUUGUUUGUGAUAUUGAGUUUAAUCCUCUAUUUCUCCUACUGGUUCAAUUCUGUUAGAAGCUAGAGUUACAUCCUCCUUAGUACUUCUGCAAUCUUCCAUGUCGUAUGUGGAUGUUAGGGGAAAUACACUUUCAUUUAUAAAAGAAGAACAAUAAUUUUAAAUGGCAUCUAUUUGAAUCUUUAAGGUUAUGCAUUUUAGAAAAGAGGGAAUACAGUGAAGUGGAGGUUCUUAGAAGAUGGAAAUAAUUGUUUCUUGUAGUUUCUUUUCCGAUUUGAAAAUGAUGUUUCCCUUAUUUUAUUGUUUAUUUGUCUUGUUUUAGAUUAGUUCAAAUUGUUUAGUUUUUCAUUUUAACUGGUUGUGACAUUUUUGAUUUGGCCCACUUUGGUUUGAAUGAACUAUAUAAAGUACUGGAGAUUUCAUUUUUUUUAAGUUCCUUCCCUUUUGUUACUUGUUGCUGGUUUAAAGGAGCAGGUCAAUACUUAGUUGGUUAAGAACUUGAAAUAUGUAUAAAUUUUAUAUCAUUUAUUACUUUAUCUAAUUAUUCAUGCAUUUUAUCAUCAAUGAAUUGGUACUUUUCAAUUGUUACAGCUGACUUAUGUGCGAUAGAUCUUGUUUAGCUAUUAGGAUUAAAUUAAGCCUAUAAAUUAUUAGUUUGGGCCAUAGAACUCUAAACUUGAUAUUGGUUGCGGCAGUGUUUGAACAAAAUAUUUUGGGCCGAAGUAUUUAUUGUUGUGUGGCCCAAUUUAACAAGAACUGGAAGUUGGUUCAUCUUUUCUAUAACAAAUGAUAGAAUAUUAGUAAUUCUAGGCAUAAUUGUGAGUUAUAACUUUGAUUAACUGUUUUGAGAUUCUUAGUAUUACUCAUAAAGUUCUUCUGCAACAAUCUUCCAUAAUCCAUGGCUUUCCAAUAAUCCCAAACUUUAGCAAAUAAAUAAUCAUGAACAUCGUAGCUUGUUUUAGGCACGAUUAGUAAACCAUCGUGACUAUGGGUACGGUUCCCGUGGCAUAGUCGUGAUGUCUAAUUCCCAAAUUUGGGGGUGCAUUUCAUGUAACCCGAUCAUAAUAACUUCGAAUAAUAAAACCCUUUGAAAUCAAUUGAGGUGUGCCAUGCCAAAUAAAACCCCUAAGCCCAUGGCCCUCAUAAACUAGUUAGCUCUUAUAGAAAUUUUGAGGUGUGCCAUUUUCCAUUAAAUAACCCACGGCCCUCAUGAAAUUAAUUCAAACCUUGUAAAAAUUGAGGUACGCCAUCAAUUAAACUUUCCAUGGCCCUCAUAAAUGUUGUUAUCAAUUUGAACCUUCAUAGUUGCUUUAGGCGCAUUCUUUAAAUAAUUCAUCACAGCUACGGGUAAUGUUCCCUUGACAUAGUUGUGAUUUUUAAUUACUAAAUACGGGUGUACAUUUUAUGUGACCCAAUUCUCAACAAUGUUAAAUAAAGCGUGUUGCGAACCACGGGUGCAUUUCAUGUAGCUUGGUUUGCGAUGUGUUUAAAUGACAUUGAAUCUUCCUAAAAGCGGUUUAAAUUAAUUUAAAAGCGGUUAUAAAGCUAAAAAUGCACAAUAGGUUAAAACAUGUAAUAAAUCGGAUAAUAGGUCAAUUUUAAUAGUUUAAGCGACCGUGCUAGAACCACGGAACCCGAAAAUGCCUAACACCUUCUCCCGGGUUAACAGAAUUCCUUAUAUAGAAUUUCUGGUUCGCAGACUUUUAAAUAAAGUCAAAUUUCCUCGACUUGGGAUUUUAAAAUAAACCGGUGAUUUGGGACACCAAAUAAACUAUCCCAUGUGGCGACUCUGAAAUUAAAUAAAAUAAUCUCAUUUCGAAUAAUGUCACUUUAAUUGGAAAAACUCCCCUAUAUACCCCCUCGGGUGGGUAAAAAGGGGUGUGAUAAGAGCGCAAUUAGAUGAAAUUCCACCAUGAUCCUUGGCUUCCCAUCGAGCCUAGGAUAAAUCGCGCCACACGCGCUCGAGGUAUGGGAAAAUCGAGUCCAGUUUAGCUAUCCAUCCCGAAAGAUUUCAUUACCGCAUCGGGGUACACCACAACAGUUGUAUCAACGGAGGAAGUCAGUCCAUGAAGAAAUGUAUCCAAAAGAAAGAAAUGGGCAGUUAAUUAAGUAUGUCUACUUACGCUUCAUGUUCCAUCUUUCGGGAAACGACAUCCUCUCUGCAGGGAUCAAGUCCGAAGUCCUAACUCGGACGAAACGGCUCAUCCACUCCUCGUUCCUAAUCUCGUCGGUGCAAGCAAAGAGGGCCCUCGAGGCCCGGCAACGAAGCUUAAUCAGGCCCCCGCGAAAAAGUCGGAGACUGUACACUUUGAUCAAAUGGUCAAGGGUAAAGGGCAUCCCCUCUAUCAUAUUCACGUAAUAUCUGGUCAUGUAAAUGAUACGCCAAAAUGACUGAUUAAUUUGGCCGAGAGUCACUUGAUAUCAUUCGCAAAAGUCGAGGAUCACGGGAUCUAUCGAAGACAUGGAGGGCACCACCGGGCUGAGGGUAAAUGGAUAAGUAUACACACUGAGGAAGUCGUCCUUAUACAUCAUUACGUCCUCCCCCGAGAAGGAACCUCCACUAGCACCGCAUCUCCCCAGCGACAGUCGAUUUUCACCCUUUCGUUAUCCGUUAUUAAACUGACGUAUCGGGAUGCAGGUUUGCAUCGCCCCGGUUUCGAAGAAGGUCUCUCGACCUUAAAAUCAGAGGUCAUCUCAAAGGCCCCUGGAACGCACUCUCCAGUGCUAGGAGGCAUUGUUUCACCCUCAAAAGAGAGCGUGGAAGAGGAAGAUACAUCUCCCUAAGGGAUGGAGGCGGAAUUGUUCGCCAUUUUUACCAGCGGAUAACAAAGGAGAAACUAAAAAUCACGUUUCAGGAAAAGGCACGGGAGAGAGGUAAGAAGAAAGAAAAACUCUGUUGGGAGCCUGAUGAUGCAGUAGAAAGGAAGGGGCAAAGAAAUGAAUACUUAUAGAAGCCUAACAUAUGCGGUUGGAGCAGACCAAAAGACAGCCAACCACUAUAAUUAAUUCAAAGAUUUUCAGGAUUGUGUGGAUGCGACCUUUUGAAGCCCUGUCUAUUACAUCAGUCACUUGGCAGGACAUAACUAUUUGUUUCGAUGGAGGCGUCGGAGGGGCAAGAUCUCGAGGAUGUUUCCUUUCAUUUUACUCUGAGAAACGUGGAGACUAUCUGUAUACAGCUAAAAUCGGGAAGACCAAUUUUAGGAUCGACAAGGUAUUACGUAAUCUCAUCUCGAAGGGCCUGAAGAAUAGCCCGGGGUCCGAUGCCCUAGGGGACUCUUUGUGCCCCGUGUCAGGGCAAAACAAACCGGUGCUUGUUGCAGGUAAACGGGAAGUUCCCUAGGAGCAGUACUUUCUGACAACACCUGCGCAAAUAGUGACAUCCUGCACCAGGCUGAUUGAGUGGUUGUACCAGUUACUUUAUGUAAUAAUUACACAUGUGUCAUAUAAGGAUUUUUCCCUCAUAUAUAAAGGGGACCCUUGUCAUUUUCAAAUGGGGGUUGGGACACAAUAUUGAAAAUACAAGAACAUUCUCUCGGCUUUCUAACAUAUUCUCUUGAUUUCAUUACUUGCAUUUAUUGAUUAUAUUCAUAGUGUUCUUCUAUUUAUUGUUCUUCAUUUUUUGCUCGUUAUUGAUCAUGAAGAGCUGCCAUCGUAGCUCUCAUAACUGUUAAUCCUCCCUCGAUUGCACUUAGUCGAGCACCCGAUUCGACAUCGAGGCCCUGUAUACACCAGCUCGAUGCCCCGACUUUCGACCAUUCGGUUUGGUUAUUAUACUAUCUACAAGCUCUUAUUUACUUUCCAGUCUUUCGCUUAGCAUCUAUUGCCUAACAACUAGUAUAAAAAUAGAUCGCAUAUUUUUAGAACCAAAAAAUCAAAUCUAAUUGUAAUUACAAUUUUCAAGGUAAACAAUAAGGCUUAGGGCUACUGUUACCUAUUUCUUUCUCUGAGAAUUCACAAAUCUUAUUGAAAUCAUCUGGUAAAUCAUCUGCCAACACACUCAACUUCUGGGAUCACUCAUUUUCACUACUUCAUAUCUGGUAUGCCUCAAUCACUUGUAGAAUAUUUCAAUUUUUAGUUUAAUUUACAGUUUUUUAGUUAGUUUUAAGACAUUUGUCUGUAUAAUUCAAAUAUACAACCAUGUGGGGUUAAAACUAUAGUGGGUCAACUGGUACUUGCUCUAUGGGGAAUGGGUAAAUAGGUUUUCAUGCAUAUAUGCUAUUACCACGUCAAAAUUUGAGCAAAACAUUGCAAGCCCUAGAACUUUGUUCGUAAGUGUUUUGAAAUUUGUGGCCGCACAAGAAAUUAUGCAGUCCAUAUAAGUUAAAAUUAGGGUAUUUUAGUAAGGCAUGAUUCUGCGGCCGCAAUGAAAAAUGUGCGAACCACAGAAAACCCACUGCGGCCGCAAAACAACUCUUUUUUUAUUGUUAGAGAGUUGUCAAUUUGAUGACUCACAUGUGCAACCGCGAUAGAAAAUGUGCGAACCGUAGAUAACUGGUUGCGGCUGCAAAACAACCAAUUCUCUGUUAUUAGAGAGUUGUCAUAUUGGUGGUGUCUGAGUUGCGUCCGCAAUGAGAAUUGUGCAGACCGCAAUCCAAUUCUGCGGCCGCAAUGAAUAUUCUGUGAACUGCAACUCCCUACCCUGUAAGCAUGUUUUAAACUGUGUUGUUCACUGUCUCUCUGUUGUGUUCUUAUAUGUCUGCACUUGAAUUGCAACUAACACCUGCUUUUGCUUGGUACAGAAAAAUGCUUAGAUCUCGAGGUAAAGGUGAUACUUCGAAUGCGAGGGGAGAACCUUCCAAGGGUCGAGGCAAGAGUGCUUUACCCCUCGCCUUACAAAAGAUAAUCACAAAGAAGGC
Molecule: long non-coding RNA, 5660 nt
Filed under: Nicotiana tabacum (common tobacco)
Lineage: Eukaryota; Viridiplantae; Streptophyta; Magnoliopsida; Solanales; Solanaceae
Description: long non-coding RNA (NTAB_LNC001602)
Source: RNAcentral